AGUGAACGCUGGCGGUAGGCCUAACACAUGCAAGUCGAACGGCAGCACAGUAAGAGCUUGCUCUUACGGGUGGCGAGUGGCGUACGGUUGAGGUAUACAUCGUAAUCUACUUUUUCGUGGGUGAUAACGUAGGGAAACUUACGCUAAUACCUCAUACUACCUACGGGUGAAAUCAUGGGAUCUUCGGACCUUUCGCGCUUGUAUGAGCCGAUGUCGGAUUAGCUUGUUGGCGGGGUAAAGGCCCACCAAGGCGACGAUCCGUAGCUGGUCUGAGAGGAUGAUCAGAGACACUGGAAGUGAGACACGGUCCAGACUACUACGGGAGGAAGCAGUGGGGAAUAUUGGACAAUGGGCGCAAGCCUGAUCCAGCAAUACCGAGUGGGUGAAGAAGGCGUUAGGGUUGUAAAGACCUUUUGUUGGGAAAGAAAAGAAGCAGGUGAAAACCCCGCUGUAAUGACGGUACCAAAAGAAUAAGCACCGGCUAACUUCGUG
RNAcentral lists this ribosomal RNA (492 nucleotides) under uncultured bacterium. Its description in RNAcentral is "partial 16S ribosomal RNA". It matches the Rfam family "Bacterial small subunit ribosomal RNA", at positions 29 to 507 of the family's 1533-position model. The record is from RNAcentral.